GAUGAACGCUGGCGGCGUGCCUAAUACAUGCAAGUCGAGCGAACAGACGAGGAGCUUGCUCCUCUGACGUUAGCGGCGGACGGGUGAGUAACACGUGGAUAACCUACCUAUAAGACUGGGAUAACUUCGGGAAACCGGAGCUAAUACCGGAUAAUAUAUUGAACCGCAUGGUUCAAUAGUGAAAUACGGUUUUUCUGUCACUUAUAGAUGGAUCCGCGCCGCAUUAGCUAGUUGGUAAGGUAACGGCUUACCAAGGCAACGAUGCGUAGCCGACCUGAGAGGGUGAUCGGCCACACUAGAACUGAGACACGGUCAAGACUCCUACGGGAGGCAGCAGUAGGGAAUCUUACGCAAUGGGCGAAAGCCUGACGGAGCAACGCCGCGUGAGUGAUGAAGGUCUUCGGAUCGUAAAACUCUGUUAUUAGGGAAGAACAAAUGUGUAAGUAAAUAUGCACGUAUUGACGGUACCUAAUCAGAAAGCCACGGCUAACUACGUG
This 497-nucleotide ribosomal RNA is filed under the name uncultured bacterium. Its description in RNAcentral is "partial 16S ribosomal RNA". It matches the Rfam family "Bacterial small subunit ribosomal RNA", at positions 28 to 507 of the family's 1533-position model. The record is from RNAcentral.